RNAcentral lists this ribosomal RNA (528 nucleotides) under uncultured bacterium. RNAcentral describes it as "bacterial SSU rRNA". It matches the Rfam family "Bacterial small subunit ribosomal RNA", at positions 980 to 1509 of the family's 1533-position model. The record is from RNAcentral.
CUUGACAUCCAGAGAACUUUCCAGAGAUGGAUUGGUGCCUUCGGGAACUCUGAGACAGGUGCUGCAUGGCUGUCGUCAGCUCGUGUUGUGAAAUGUUGGGUUAAGUCCGCAACGAGCGCAACCCCUAUCCUUUGUUGCCAGCGAUUCGGUCGGGAACUCAAAGGAGACUGCCGGUGAUAAACCGGAGGAAGGUGGGGAUGACGUCAAGUCAUCAUGGCCCUUACGAGUAGGGCUACACACGUGCUACAAUGGCGUAUACAAAGAGAAGCGACCUCGCGAGAGCAAGCGGACCUCAUAAAGUACGUCGUAGUCCGGAUUGGAGUCUGCAACUCGACUCCAUGAAGUCGGAAUCGCUAGUAAUCGUAGAUCAGAAUGCUACGGUGAAUACGUUCCCGGGCCUUGUACACACCGCCCGUCACACCAUGGGAGUGGGUUGCAAAAGAAGUAGAUAGCUUAACCUUCGGGAGGGCGUUUACCACUUUGUGAUUCAUGACUGGGGUGAAGUCGUAACAAGGUAGGCGUAGCGAG